This 565-nucleotide ribosomal RNA is filed under the name uncultured bacterium. Its description in RNAcentral is "bacterial SSU rRNA". It matches the Rfam family "Bacterial small subunit ribosomal RNA", at positions 8 to 571 of the family's 1533-position model. The record is from RNAcentral.
AGAGUUUGAUUAUGGCUCAGGACGAACGCUGGCGGCGUGCUUAACACAUGCAAGUCGAACGGAGCACCCUUGAAAGAGAUUUCGGUCAAUGGAUAGGAAUGCUUAGUGGCGGACUGGUGAGUAACGCGUGAGGAACCUGCCUUCCAGAGGGGGACAACAGUUGGAAACGACUGCUAAUACCGCAUGACACAUGACCGUGGCAUCACGGACAUGUCAAAGAUUUAUCGCUGGAAGAUGGCCUCGCGUCUGAUUAGCUGGUAGGCGGGGUAACGGCCCACCUAGGCGACGAUCAGUAGCCGGACUGAGAGGUUGACCGGCCACAUUGGGACUGAGAUACGGCCCAGACUCCUACGGGAGGCAGCAGUGGGGAAUAUUGGGCAAUGGGCGCAAGCCUGACCCAGCAACGCCGCGUGAAGGAAGAAGGCUUUCGGGUUGUAAACUUCUUUUAAGGGGGAAGAGGAGAAGACGGUACCCCUUGAAUAAGCCACGGCUAACUACGUGCCAGCAGCCGCGGUAAUACGUAGGUGGCAAGCGUUGUCCGGAUUUACUGGGUGUAAAGGGCGUG